RNAcentral lists this ribosomal RNA (484 nucleotides) under uncultured bacterium. Its description in RNAcentral is "partial 16S ribosomal RNA". It matches the Rfam family "Bacterial small subunit ribosomal RNA", at positions 29 to 523 of the family's 1533-position model. The record is from RNAcentral.
AGUGAACGCUGGCGGCGUGCUUAACACAUGCAAGUCGAACGAGAACGGAUUAUAGCUUGCUAUAAUUGUCAGCUAAGUGGCGCACGGGUGAGUAAUGUAUAGGUAAUAUGCCUCUUACUAAGGGAUAACAAUUGGAAACGUUUGCUAAUACCUUAUACUCCUUAUUAACAUAAGUUAAUAAGGGAAAGAUUUAUUGGUAAGAGAUUAGCCUGUAUUGUAUCAGUUAGUUGGUGGGGUAAUGGCUUACCAAGACUAUGACACAUAACUGGUUUGAGAGGAUGAUCAGCCACACUGGAACUGAGACACGGUCCAGACUCCUACGGGAGGCAGCAGUGGGGAAUAUUGCACAAUGGGCGAAAGUCUGAUGCAGCAACGCCGCGUGGAGGAUGACACAUUUCGGUGCGUAAACUCCUUUUAUAUGAGAAGAUAAUGACGGUAUUAUAUGAAUAAGCACCGGCUAACUCCGUGCCAGCCGCCGCCGUAA